CACCUGUUUACAUUCCGAACACAGAAGUUAAGCCCUUAUACGCCGAAAGUACUGCACUGGAGACGGUGUGGGAGGUUAGGUAGCUGCCGGUU
Molecule: ribosomal RNA, 92 nt
Filed under: Candidatus Scybalosoma faecavium
Lineage: Bacteria; Bacillati; Bacillota; Clostridia; Eubacteriales
Source: RNAcentral